This 304-nucleotide ribosomal RNA is filed under the name uncultured bacterium. RNAcentral's name for it is "partial 16S ribosomal RNA". It matches the Rfam family "Bacterial small subunit ribosomal RNA", at positions 506 to 807 of the family's 1533-position model. The record is from RNAcentral.
CAGCAGCCGCCGCGGGAAUACGAAGGGGGCUAGCGUUGUUCGGAUUUACUGGGCGUAAAGGGCGCGUAGGCGGACUGAUAAGUCAGGGGUGAAACCCCAAGGCUCAACCUUGGAACUGCCUUUGAUACUGUUUGUCUUGAGUUCGAGAGAGGUAAGUGGAACUGCGAGUGUAGAGGUGAAAUUCGUAGAUAUUCGCAAGAACACCGAUGGCGAAGGCAGCCCCCUGGGCCAAUACUGACGCUCAUGCACGAAAGCGUGGGGAGCAAACAGGAUUAGAUACCCCAGUAGUCCCUGUCUCUUAUAC